UCUGGAUAGGUCUCCUUUGGUAUAUAGU
RNAcentral lists this non-coding RNA (28 nucleotides) under Mus musculus (house mouse). Lineage: Eukaryota; Metazoa; Chordata; Mammalia; Rodentia; Muridae. The record is from RNAcentral.